AGAGUUUGAUCCUGGCUCAGGAUUAACGCUAGCGGCAGGCCUAAUACAUGCAAGUCGAGGGGUAACAGUUCUUUUCGGAGAAGCUGACGACCGGCGCACGGGUGCGUAACGCGUAUGCAACCUACCCUUUACAGGAGGAUAGCCCGGGGAAACCCGGAUUAAUACUCCAUAAGAUGACAGUAUUACAUGGUACAGUCAUAAAAGCUUUCGGGUGGUAAAGGAUGGGCAUGCGUCUGAUUAGCUAGUUGGUGUGGUAACGGCACACCAAGGCGAUGAUCAGUAGCGGGUCUGAGAGGAUGAUCCGCCACACUGGUACUGAGAUACGGACCAGACUCCUACGGGAGGCAGCAGUAGGGAAUAUUGGUCAAUGGGGGCAACCCUGAACCAGCCAUGCCGCGUGCAGGAAGACAGCCUUCUGGGUUGUAAACUGCUUUUAAAGGGGAAGAAAGGGUUCGAUGCGUCGAAUUUUGACGGUACCCUAAGAAUAAGCACCGGCUAACUCCGUGCCAGCAGCCGCGGUAAUACGGAGGGUGCAAGCGUUGUCCGGAUUUAUUGGGUUUAAAGGGUGCGUAGGCGGAUUAUUAAGUCAGUGGUGAAAGUCUGCGGCUCAACCGUAGGAGUGCCAUUGAAACUAGUAGUCUUGAGUGUCGAUGAGGUAUGCGGAAUUUAUGGUGUAGCGGUGAAAUGCAUAGAUACCAUAAAGAACACCGAUAGCGAAGGCAGCAUACUAAACGGUAACUGACGCUGA
This 748-nucleotide ribosomal RNA is filed under the name uncultured bacterium. Its description in RNAcentral is "bacterial SSU rRNA". It matches the Rfam family "Bacterial small subunit ribosomal RNA", at positions 8 to 749 of the family's 1533-position model. The record is from RNAcentral.